Molecule: non-coding RNA, 283 nt
Filed under: Streptomyces kanasensis
Lineage: Bacteria; Bacillati; Actinomycetota; Actinomycetes; Kitasatosporales; Streptomycetaceae
Description: Streptomyces sp. ZX01 Bacterial small subunit ribosomal RNA
Rfam family: Bacterial small subunit ribosomal RNA
Source: Rfam by way of RNAcentral
UUCACGGAGAGUUUGAUCCUGGCUCAGGACGAACGCUGGCGGCGUGCUUAACACAUGCAAGUCGAACGAUGAACCCACUUCGGUGGGGGAUUAGUGGCGAACGGGUGAGUAACACGUGGGCAAUCUGCCCUUCACUCUGGGACAAGCCCUGGAAACGGGGUCUAAUACCGGAUACGACCACUUCAGGCAUCUGAUGGUGGUGGAAAGCUCCGGCGGUGAAGGAUGAGCCCGCGGCCUAUCAGCUUGUUGGUGGGGUAAUGGCCCACCAAGGCGACGACGGGUA